CGCUCUACAACUCAGAAGGCAAGAGAACAGCUUAUUGAGUGUUUAAAGUUCAGACAGGUUAGACCAGGGUGAGCUUGGUGCAGUCUUUUUUCUUGUAGAUAUGUUGAAUUCUUGCACAGAAAUCUACCUUGAGUUGUUCCAUAAGCAUGAGGUUUUGCAAGCACAGGGUACACCCCACUAGUCAGGCCUGCAGUCAGGCCUUCCUGGACACAAUGUCUCUAAAAUAGACCACAGCCUGCUCCUGCUUAAUGUUGGAUAUAUUGUUUCUUUUGUAAGUCACAGAGUCAGUAUUUCUAUAUCCCUUCUCUUUCUCACCAGUGUAUGUUGGCCCUCCUGCCUUUCACGUUCUCUGAUCUUCCUGGCUCACAGACCAGAUAACUUCCUUCAGAAUUGAAGGGUACAAAAGGAUGAUGCUAUUUGUCUCUAUUCUUUUAUCUUAAAAAUCUGCCAAAAAUUUUGUGACCCACAGAUUUUUCCAGCAGGACAGUAAUACUUACAUCCUGGAGUCUCACAGAGGGAUGCAUUCAUAGAUAUCAUCGCUUUUGUUGAUAUCGUGUCCACGUACUCCUAGGUUCUGUCAGUUCAUCUACAACAAUGGGUUCUUUCACACCUGGAAAACUCCUUUGUCCUGGAUGAGCAUCCCCUCUGUCUCAGUGCUGGGAUUCCAGGCAUUGGCCACUAAAUCCAAUGUAGGCAACACUAGGAAGUCAAACACAGGGCCCCUGGCAUGAUAGGGAAGCAUUUGACACAACUGAGCUACAUCAACAGCCGUGUUUCAUAAAUAAUGCAGGACUGGAGUGGAGCAGAGACUGAAGGAGGGGCUGUCCAGGGACUGACUGACCUGAGGAUCCAUCCCAUGUGCAGCGACGAAACCCAGACACUGGCUGAUGCCAAGGAGUGCUUACUGACAGGGACCUGAUAUAGAUACCACCUGAGAGGCUCUGUCAGAGCCUUAGGGAUACAGAUUUGGGUGCUUGCAGCCAAAUAUCUGACUGAGCCCUGGAACCCCAAUGGAGGAGUUGGGAGAAGGACUAAAGGAACUCAGGGGCUUUACAACACCAUGGGAGGAACAACAAUAUCAAGCAAA
Molecule: small RNA, 1087 nt
Filed under: Rattus norvegicus (Norway rat)
Lineage: Eukaryota; Metazoa; Chordata; Mammalia; Rodentia; Muridae
Description: uncharacterized LOC108351243
Source: RNAcentral